This is a long non-coding RNA of Papaver somniferum (opium poppy), 2760 nucleotides long. RefSeq lists it as uncharacterized. The transcript has 8 exons. NCBI's taxonomy places the organism in Eukaryota, Viridiplantae, Streptophyta, Magnoliopsida, Ranunculales, Papaveraceae. The record is from RefSeq and is a predicted model, not a curated record.
CUCUGUGAUAGGAUUGAAACGUUUCUCAUUGAAUGGGAGCGAGUUUCUCUCGUGUAAGGAACGCGCUCCUAUCACGUAUCUCAGUGAGGAGCGCAAAAUCGCGUUUCUCAGUGAGAUUCGUGAUGGGUUUGGACGUUCCUGGCUACUAAGAUCUCAAAUACUGUAAUGAAACAAUUUUAUUGUCCGGACUUAAAAUUGUUAGUUUUCCUAAUCCUAACCAUUGUCAGUAACAUCUUAAAUAUAAAUUUUCAUCAACUCACACUCACUAUAUACAUAAUCUGAGUUUAACUUUAGUUUCAAGAUGGAUCUACACAACUGUUAAUGAUCACCAAGGUUAUGUUUUUUUUUUUGUUCGUACAAUUGUGAUGUCUAAUUCUUCAUUCAGGAUUUCAAAGUCAAGUUUAGCAGUAGUUGUCACUCCCUCACUCUUACAUGGUGGGUUUCUCAUGUGACUCCAACGUUGGAGUAGUCAUUUUUGCGUGGUGGUUUUGCCACAUGUAUCCAUCGUGACACUUAACAAUGAUAUGUAUAUAAUUAAAUUAUCAAAAGAAAUGCUUCAGGCUAGGUACCUGAUAUAAAUGAUAACGCACAUGUUACCUAGUAUUAGGGGUUUUACUUAAGCAAGUUUGUAGAUAUCCACCUUUCUAAAUUAUUGUGUAGUUAAAAUAGAUAAAUUGGUAAUUAGAUUCAUCAUUAGAUGAUUACAUUUCUCUUUCCAUGGGAGCCAGAUGCUGCUAGGCUCCUGCUACUUAGCCUAGAGCCUUGAGCAUUGUACAAAGGCGUGUUGUAGGAAAACCAUUUACUUUCUGGGUGUAAUUUCCACAACAUGGGGGUUCAUCUUAGCAAGAAAUAUUGCAUUAGGAUAAUGGCUAAAAGAAUUUGAAAAGCAUGGCAUUAAGAUUUCCUCCAUAUCUUUAUAUCCUUGAGGUCGAUGGUGUUGCUUCCUUUUUUAGUGAUUCUACUUCUUUUUGCCUGUAGACCGGUUGCUUUACUCCAUCAUACCUCUCGGGGGAGACUCAGCUAAUGUUGAGCAUUUUGGUCAGGAGUCGAAAACUUUUUUAGUCUAAGUCCAACAUUAGACUAUGGAAAUUUUAAGGCUCUAAAUAGAAUGUGCAGUGACCUAUGAGCAGCAAGGAGCGACAGUUUACUGUACAUGGAUUGUGAUAUGUGUUGCAGUGAACUCAGCUAAUGUUGCAGUUGUUGUUGCAUUCUUUGUUCUACUAUUAUUGGUUGGAUCCAUGGGGCUAUAGAUUUAUUACAUGUGAACUAAACAAGAGGAAAAAUAAUUUUGUUGGCAUACUGAUCAUCUGAACUGUGCCCUUUGGGGAGAUGAAGCAACUGAAGGAAUUUAAAGUCGAGUCCAUUUUUUCAGCAAUCAAAAAUGGAUGCUACCGAGUCAUUUCUUCGUCCCAGUUGGUUUCGUGGUCUCUAGGAUCAAGUGAUAAUAGACAUGGAGGCCCGUUGAUGAACAUGAGUUUCUCCUAGAUUCAGCAGUUUACUAACUACUGAGUAUACAACUCUAACCACCUCCAAUUUACACGGUGAAGAAUAUGGAAGAGCUCAAGAAUUUGUACAACAUUGUUUGGGCUUUCACAGAUAAGAAGCUUAAAGUGGGAAAUGAUUUGUGAAAUUUUGGUAACGGGACCAUGGAUGUCGAGAAGAUGUGAUAACAGAGAUUCCUUGAAUGAUGUUAAAAGGUAUGAGAAAGUUGGCGAUGAAAUGAAAAUGCUGGAUUUGAUGAAUCCUAAUGGGUUCUUUGUGGAAGAUGGCGGGAUUUGGGUGAGACGUGUAGUGGUUGUUCUAAAAGACGUUGUUAAAUGGUUUUUUGUUUCCCAUUAGCUUAAUUUAUGGGUUUGCCUGAAUAAAUCCCAUUAGCUCAAACAUGUGAGGUGUUACCAAGUAUGAUAUUUUUGAUUGAGUAGAUAGUUGAAGUCAUCAGAGUCCAAUACUUCAAAAACAGUCUAAAGAGUUCCUUACGAACUUUAAAAGUUGAGAUCCAAUGGGAGUAAGUUAAGAGGCGCACAUUGCAGCCGAGAAAUGCAUCUGAAGUUUACCUAGGUAAAUACUAUUGAAGAAGCUUCAAGUUAAAGAGGAUGGCAUCAUAUUUGGAGUUUAGUAAAAUAUAUGACUCAGGAAAGAUGUAGGCACAUUAACAAACAUGGGUUAAAAGGUUUUCAAGCUCAUGACCGAGUGGCCUCUGAUUGUCAACGAAACCUUUUACUCUUGGAAGAAUAAAAUCAAGGUUCAGUUUGGCUUUAACUAUCUUGAAAAUUGAUCAUCUCUAUGUGGCUAGCAACUAUCGGUCUAGGAAGCAAGAGAGAUAUUCAACUUGAUGUUUUUAAGAGGUGGGAUGCCAUGCAGAUUUCAUUGCUGUUCACUUUCCACAGUAACUCCUUUUAGACAAUCCUCAAGUAUAUAGAUGGACAUUUUUAAAAACUAACAAACAACUAAUAUGCAAAGAAAAAGAAAAAGGUAGACAAUUUUCUUUUCCAAGUUCAACAAACAAGGUACUCUAUAUGAUGGACAUUUUUAUUUUUGAGGGCAGUUUUUUCUCCUAUUAGAUUUGGCUUUCAGAGAACAAUACAGGGUUACACGUGAUUAGAACAUGCAUGUCUUACCCAUUGAGUGAAAAAUGUUUCAUUGCGAAUAUUGUGGUAUUCGAGUUGAGGUUGAUAUGUCUUGCUUCCGGACCAUCUUCCCUCUAUUUCUACAACAAAACCAUGUCAACAAGAUUAAUAAUGGUUAAAUUCGUCUUCUUUA